This 444-nucleotide long non-coding RNA is filed under the name Gossypium barbadense (sea-island cotton). RNAcentral describes it as "long non-coding RNA (GBAR_LNC002039)". The record is from RNAcentral. Lineage: Eukaryota; Viridiplantae; Streptophyta; Magnoliopsida; Malvales; Malvaceae.
AAUAGGAAAAGGCCAUAGAGCAGCAUUGAGGAAACAAUAAUAGACAACAUAGCUAUUGUUGACUUAAAAUCAUCUAGACAUGUAAAGGUUUAUAGAUUUGUCAUGUUUGGUCUAUGCUGUUUAUAGCAUUUAAAUAUCCCAUCUGUAGGCUUGCAGAAUAAUAUGAUAACUACAAAAAUAAUAGACUAUACACCUUUAAAAUUUAGAUUCUACUAUACACCUUUAAGAAUUAGAUUCUUUGUCCAUUCAGAUUUUUUAAUGCUAAUUUAAAACUUUUAUUUUGUGUCCUUUCAUGGGGAAAUAUGCUUUCAAAUUAUACCCUGGCAUAAUUCAAAAUUACAUAGAUAUGUUCAUGAUGUUAUACCUUAAGAUAUGUUAGCUCACAAUUUAUUUUGACUUCAACAUUCCUUCACAUCUAUAUCUAAAAUACUAACUCACCAAAAU